Cygnus olor (mute swan) is the source of this 298-nucleotide long non-coding RNA. RefSeq lists it as uncharacterized. NCBI's taxonomy places the organism in Eukaryota, Metazoa, Chordata, Aves, Anseriformes, Anatidae. The transcript has 3 exons. The record is from RefSeq and is a predicted model, not a curated record.
AUACACACAUGCACACUUGAAUAAGAUAUUUUUUGACUCACUGUUUGAAUGAUGUCUAUGAAUUUUUAGCAUUUUUUUUCCUCAAUUUAAGACCUCUCUGUCUUUUUCUUUCUCUUUUCAGACUUCCAGCUUCUCCUUUUGGGUUUCAAAUUGCAGUCACAGUUUUCCGGUUAUUUGAACAGCAGUGCAGAAUGAUACAUGAGAAAUUAUGCCUUUGGAAUCCAUUUGUAGCUCACCUCCUCAGUAGGGAUGGAGAAGGGCCUGGACAGAGCUUUCUUCACAUAUUGCAGUAGGAAAU